CGAGGGCAGUGUGGGACACCAGCCCGGGGCUCAUGGCUGGCCGAGGCUCCAUGUGCCCCUUGAGGGAGAGAGGUGCAGGGCAGACCAGGCAAGGCUGAGGUCUGUCCCUCCAGUGGGAUCAAAGCCUGGGAAGGAAGGAGAAGCUCAGGGAAGGGAGGCCCAGAGGACAGAGAGGCUCCCCACCACCCCUGCAAUGUGGAGCACAGCCACCCAAUAUUGCCCCAGCUCAGCAGGAGCAGCUGGGAAUGGAUGAGGAUCCCUGUCUCAGGAAGGCAGGCUCUGCUGGGGAACUCCAGAACCUGGAAAAUGACUUCAGAGGAGAAAGGCCUCAGUGUGGAAGGAGAGGAGGUGUCAGCCAAGCAGGUGGGAUCCUAAGAGAGGAAAGAUCUAAGAUCAGACAUCAGAAGCCAGACUCACAGCCCUGUGGCAGGAACCCAGAGAAGACGGGGAAGAGCCCGGCAGGAGAAGAAAGCAAUGGAGGCUUCUACCCAUCUUCUUCCGCUGCUGCUUAGCUGGGGCUUCUAGGGCAGUGAGGGGCUUAUUGUAAGGGCAGAGCUAUGUGUGCACCCAUCCUACCCCCUGGAGCCCUGCCUGCCCUCAUCCCACAUCUCCUGGCAGUGGCUUGGUGGCCCUACACUCAGUCACCAAUGUUCUCAGUACCUAGCUGCAGGGUUGGUUUUAUUUUAUUUAUUUAUUCAUGAGAGACACAGAGAGAGGCAGAGACAUAGACAAGGGAGAAGCAGGCUCCCCGUGGGGAGCCCGAUCCCAGGACCCCGGGAUCACGACCUGAGCCAAAGGCAGAUGCUCAACUACUGAGCCAGCCAGGUGCUCCUCUUAACUACAAUUCUUNCCCCGAUCCCGGCCCCGGGAUCACGACCUGAGCCAAAGGCAGAUGCUCAACUACUGAGCCAGCCAGGUGCUCCUCUUAACUACAAUUCUUUUUGCGGAUACUAUUCAUCUAAGGAAAUGAAGCCUGCUGUCUCAAUUAAAUAUAGUAGCUUCAUCUCCCCUGCAAGAUCCCCUCGCCCAACAACUCUCUGAGGCCCCCUUUGCCUAUAGGAUAAAUAUCCACAUUCUCCACUUUCCAAUUUUAUCUCCCUUAUGCUGGUCUUUUCAGAGUUCCCCCAACACAGUGUUUGUCUACCUGCCUCCAUGCUCCUUGGCUUCUGCUCUUCUCUCCCUAUGGAGUGCCCUCCCCCUAGUGCUACCUUUGUAGUUAGUUCUAUCCUUCCAGACCAAACCAUGGUACUAACUCCCGCGUGAGGCCUCCCUCCUCGGCCAAGCCAGAACUGAUCUCUCUCCUUCCCUGUAAGGGAUUUGGUUUACACCAAAUGCCAUGACAAUUCCUGGCACGGAGUUGGAGUUCGUGAAAUAAAAGUUGUAA
Molecule: long non-coding RNA, 1384 nt
Filed under: Vulpes vulpes (red fox)
Lineage: Eukaryota; Metazoa; Chordata; Mammalia; Carnivora; Canidae
Description: lncRNA (ENSVVUG00000029106.1)
Source: RNAcentral